ACAGGUGGACGAUACACUUUUUGCGUGGAAUGAUGCACUUCCACACUGUUCUAGUGAGCAACACACGGUUCACAGUGACCGAUACAUUGUUUUACGGUGGAUGUUACUGUUGAUGGAAGAAGAAAAGAAUUUAGAGGAAAAAAACAGAGGGUGAGAGACGUAGAAUUAAAAAACAAAGGGAGAGCAAUUAAGUUUUAGUAUGGCGGCUUAGAGAAAAUUACGUUUUGAGAAAAGUUUCUGAUACCUUGUUGAAUGAUGAGAACUGAGAAGCACAAUAUUUGGUUCCCUUCUCCGUGUAUUCAAUU
Long non-coding RNA from Arabidopsis thaliana (thale cress), 305 nucleotides. RefSeq annotates it as other RNA. The record is from RefSeq. NCBI's taxonomy places the organism in Eukaryota, Viridiplantae, Streptophyta, Magnoliopsida, Brassicales, Brassicaceae. The transcript has a single exon.